AAAAGGUAACACAGCUGCAGCAGCAAAGGAGAGACAAUUGGCAUGAGAGAAAAUUGCUGCCCGAGUCAAUGCAUGCAACCCCACAGGCGCAAAGCGCACUUGGCAGCAGCUGAAGAUCAAACAUAAAAAUAUAAUUCAGACAGCCAACAGAAAGAAGGCAGAGGCCCGCAAAACGGGUGGAGGGCCACCGGCCCCACCACUGACGGUUGCUGAACAGCUGGCCCUGAGCCAGAACACUGGAAGACCAGCGGCUGAAGGCAUUCCUGGAGGGAGCUCAUCUGAGCCACUCAGACGGCAUCUAAUUAAAACUAUGGCAAAAACGGACAAUGAAA
Molecule: long non-coding RNA, 332 nt
Organism: Cololabis saira (Pacific saury)
Lineage: Eukaryota; Metazoa; Chordata; Actinopteri; Beloniformes; Belonidae
Exons: 3
Source: RefSeq, a predicted model, not a curated record